GACGGAGGGUGCUAGCGUUGUUCGGAAUUACUGGGCGUAAAGAGUGUGUAGGCGGUGUUCCCAGUCUGUUGUGAAAUCUCCCGGCUUAACUGGGAGGGUGCAGCGGAAACUAGAAUGCUAGAGGGUGGGAGAGGUAAGCGGAAUUCCUGGUGUAGCGGUGAAAUGCGUAGAUAUCAGGAGGAACACCUGUGGUGUAGACAGCUUACUGGACCACUUCUGACGCUGAGACACGAAAGCGUGGGUAGCAAACAGG
Molecule: ribosomal RNA, 253 nt
Filed under: uncultured bacterium
Lineage: Bacteria
Description: partial 16S ribosomal RNA
Rfam family: Bacterial small subunit ribosomal RNA
Source: RNAcentral